Molecule: non-coding RNA, 801 nt
Organism: Pelobates cultripes (western spadefoot toad)
Lineage: Eukaryota; Metazoa; Chordata; Amphibia; Anura; Pelobatidae
Source: the annotation of a GenBank genome assembly
CAUUGUUAAUUUUUGCCUUGUGUUCAGUGCAACAUUUAUUAUACAGUGUCAUAUAAUUUUUUGUUAUUGCUACUUUGUUUUUUAUUUUUUAUGCCCAAACAGUAUUACAUGGAUAUCAGCUAAGUAUAAAUUUUUUUGAACCUCGUUUUUUGCAUCAUUAGAAGUUAUAUUUAUGAUCUAACAAAACAGGUUGCAAGAGAAUACUGAGAACAGACAGCAUCUCAAAUAACUUGCCCUUUGGUGGGUCACAGCUCAGUUCUCAGUUUCAGCUCAUCUUGUGCCAUUGGUGAGAGAACCUAAACCAGAGUUUGGAACAAAUGCAGGCCAGGUCACCCUCUGCACAAAAGAUACAGCAACACAAGAUGAGUAUUUCAGCCUUGUUAGGCCUGUAGGAACAGUGAGUAAAGGGUCCACAACUGGAUUAGUAAAACCUUAGGGAGAGCCAAAAAAACUAUGUUCAAGAGAAUGGCAAUAGCUUGUCCUUCGGUGGGGUCCCUGCUCGGUUCUCAAGCUGGCUUUAGCUCAUUAUGUGCCAUUACAGAGAGAACCUAAAGUAUUUGCAUACCAGACUGACCUAAUCCAAAAUACAGGCAGGUCUCCUACUUUCCACAGAUGCUGAGAAGACUUUCGACAGGGUGGACUGGGACUUCAUGUUCUCUACCUUGAGGGAAUUUGACUUUGAUACCAGCCUUAUAUACUCAUCCUUCAGGGAGACUUUGCAUAAACAGUGCCUUUUCGGAUCCCUUUGAGAUCCAAAAUGGUACUAAACAUGGGUGCCCACUGUCCAAGUGUUGUUUGCCC